CUAGGCAUGGGGAAAGGAUUGGUCAUACACACAUGGAUAAGAGGUACCUAUUGAUCGUUGAGGAUUCGCCUUUAUUUUAUUCGCCUUAAAAGUGCGCAGAAAACUGAUGUGGGACUAAGCGUCGCUCAUAACCUUACCCUGCAGGAUUCUAAUGCCCAAAAUACUCCUUUAUUAUCGUGGUGAAAAUAUCCUUGUGACGUCACAUUCUAAGGGCAUUAGCAUACUUAUUUCAUCUCUCUCUCUCAUGUGGGCAAUUAACAAGGAAAUCACAAUUUCCGAUGAGCAACUUAGCUGUCAAAAUUGCCAAAAUCUCAACAAAAACAUAGUCAACGUGAU
RNAcentral lists this long non-coding RNA (336 nucleotides) under Spirodela polyrhiza (greater duckweed). RNAcentral's name for it is "long non-coding RNA (SPOL_LNC000121)". Lineage: Eukaryota; Viridiplantae; Streptophyta; Magnoliopsida; Alismatales; Araceae. The record is from RNAcentral.